Molecule: ribosomal RNA, 150 nt
Filed under: uncultured bacterium
Lineage: Bacteria
Description: partial 16S ribosomal RNA
Rfam family: Bacterial small subunit ribosomal RNA
Source: RNAcentral
AGUAAUCACAGGUCAGCAUACUGUGGUGAAUACGUUCCCGGGCCUUGUACACACCGCCCGUCACACCAUGAGAGUUGAGAAUACCCGAAGCCCAUGUCAAAGUGGUCGAAGGUAGGCUUGAUGAUUGGGGUGAAGUCGUAACAAGGUAGC